RNAcentral lists this unclassified non-coding RNA (332 nucleotides) under soil metagenome. Its description in RNAcentral is "partial contains 5.8S ribosomal RNA, internal transcribed spacer 2, and large subunit ribosomal RNA". The stretch from base 1 to 120 matches the Rfam family "5.8S ribosomal RNA", at positions 35 to 154 of the family's 154-position model. The record is from RNAcentral.
GAUGAAGAACGUAGCGAAAUGCGAUAAGUAAUGUGAAUUGCAGAAUCCAGUGAAUCAUCGAAUCUUUGAACGCACAUUGCGCCCGCCAGUAUUCUGGCGGGCAUGCCUGUUCGAGCGUCAUUUCAACCCUCAAGCACAGCUUGGUGUUGGGACUCGCGUUAAUUCGCGUUCCUCAAAUUGAUUGGCGGUCACGUCGAGCUUCCAUAGCGUAGUAGUAAAACCCUCGUUACUGGUAAUCGUCGCGGCCACGCCGUUAAACCCCAACUUCUGAAUGUUGACCUCGGAUCAGGUAGGAAUACCCGCUGAACUUAAGCAUAUCAAUAAGCGGAGGA